RNAcentral lists this ribosomal RNA (253 nucleotides) under uncultured bacterium. RNAcentral describes it as "partial 16S ribosomal RNA". It matches the Rfam family "Bacterial small subunit ribosomal RNA", at positions 524 to 776 of the family's 1533-position model. The record is from RNAcentral.
UACAGAGGUCCCAAGCGUUGUUCGGAUUCACUGGGCGUAAAGGGUGCGUAGGCGGUCGGGUAAGUCUGAUGUGAAAUCUCACAGCUUAACUGUGAAACUGCAUUGGAUACUAUCCGGCUAGAGGAAUGGAGGGGAGACUGGAAUACUUGGUGUAGCAGUGAAAUGCGUAGAUAUCAAGUGGAACACCAGUGGCGAAGGCGAGUCUCUGGACAUUUCCUGACGCUGAGACACGAAAGCGUGGGGAGCAAACAGG